RNAcentral lists this ribosomal RNA (643 nucleotides) under ascomycete sp. ODP60803fg1. Its description in RNAcentral is "SSU rRNA". It matches the Rfam family "Eukaryotic small subunit ribosomal RNA", at positions 194 to 844 of the family's 1831-position model. Lineage: Eukaryota; Fungi; Ascomycota. The record is from RNAcentral.
GGAAGGGGUGUAUUUAUUAGAUAAAAAACCAACGCCCUUCGGGGCUCCUUGGUGAAUCAUAAUAACUUAACGAAUCGCAUGGCCUUGCGCCGGCGAUGGUUCAUUCAAAUUUCUGCCCUAUCGACUUUCGAUGGUAGGAUAGUGGCCUACCAUGGUGGCAACGGGUAACGGGGAAUUAGGGUUCGAUUCCGGAGAGGGAGCCUGAGAAACGGCUACCACAUCCAAGGAAGGCAGCAGGCGCGCAAAUUACCCAAUCCCGAUACGGGGAGGUAGUGACAAUAAAUACUGAUACGGGGCUCUUUUGGGUCUCGUAAUUGGAAUGAGAACAAUUUAAAUCCCUUAACGAGGAACAAUUGGAGGGCAAGUCUGGUGCCAGCAGCCGCGGUAAUUCCAGCUCCAAUAGCGUAUAUUAAAGUUGUUGCAGUUAAAAAGCUCGUAGUUGAACCUUGGGUCUGGCUGGCCGGUCCGCCUCACCGCGAGUACUGGUCCGGCUGGACCUUUCCUUCUGGGGAACCUCAUGGGCCUUCACUGGCUGUGGGGGGAACCAGGACUUUUACUGUGAAAAAAUUAAAGUGUUCAAAGCAGAACUUUGCUCGAAUACAUUAGCAUGGAAUAAUAGAAUAGGACGUGUGGGUCUAUUUUG